AAGUCGUAACAAGGUUUCCGUAGGUGAACCUGCGGAAGGAUCAUUAACACGUAUCCUAACGUUAAACCACCCGUGCACCUUCAUCCUUCUUACUACUACUAGCCCAUCUUGCUGAGGACCGAACCUCUUGCUUUUACUUGCGAAGCUGGAGAUACACUAGCCAGUCCACUGCUGGAAACUAAGUCUUCCAAGCAAAAUCCGAUGCUCGGGCCCUAACUCGGUCCUAGAGUCGGUAACCCGAACGUUAACAAUGGAUAUCUUGGCUCUC
Molecule: unclassified non-coding RNA, 268 nt
Filed under: fungal sp.
Lineage: Eukaryota; Fungi
Description: partial internal transcribed spacer region
Rfam family: Eukaryotic small subunit ribosomal RNA (bases 1-46)
Source: RNAcentral